Molecule: long non-coding RNA, 660 nt
Organism: Brienomyrus brachyistius
Lineage: Eukaryota; Metazoa; Chordata; Actinopteri; Osteoglossiformes; Mormyridae
Exons: 3
Source: RefSeq, a predicted model, not a curated record
AUUAAUUCAUCCGAGGGGCAACACAUGCGCAAAAUCAAUUCAUCCGAAAGGCAACACAUCCGCUCCCAGCUGUCUGCUUACCCUGAGUCAGUAUCGGGUUUGGAGCUUGUGCGCUGAAGAGGCACGACGAGCUCCACCUUAAAAAGCACCUGGGCCAGUGACAAUGCGAAAUGUGAAAGACGGGAGGAGGGCUCGAUUAUUCUUUCGCCACUAGGGUAAGAUGCUUACGACCUAACUAUCUUUCCACUGGUAAAUCCCCGUCUGUGCAGCCCAAACAGACAGAGCUGCUUUGGGGCAGGAGGAAGACCUUUUGUCGGGAGGGACUACGGGCAGUGGUUUCAAGCUACAGCGGGCGGAAACUGCACCUGCACGGCUCGCUGCGGUGGAGAUCGAACCAUGCAGCAGGGAACUGCUUGUCAGCACAUGUAGGGUGUCCCCUGCAUUUCCUGGGAUGGACUCAUCAGAGCCCUGCAUUAGACUGUGACAAUCCAGAUGAACCUCAACCGCUUCUCCAGAUCAAGAGGAGCAAGCUGAAUUGUUUUGCAUAUCUUAUAAGGACGUCACCUGGUCAACUCUCAAGGGAACUGAGGCUGCUGUGGGCCGGGCCAGAACCAGGAGGUGCUGGAGAGACUACAGCUCCGGGCUGCAUUUUUUGACAUA